RNAcentral lists this long non-coding RNA (361 nucleotides) under Crocodylus porosus (Australian saltwater crocodile). RNAcentral's name for it is "lncRNA (ENSCPRG00005011442.1)". Lineage: Eukaryota; Metazoa; Chordata; Crocodylia; Crocodylidae. The record is from RNAcentral.
GAGAGCAAUGAAAUAAAUAAAUAAGCCCGGCAGCACCAAUGAGCGCGGCAGAGCCGGCGGCGGCCGGAGCGGGGCUGGCUCCUUCGCCUGCCUCUGCCUGAAGCCGCAAAGUUCAGACCCAAACGUGUUGCGCCGCCGCCUGCUGCCGCCACCUGCUCCAACGCCCCGAGGAAGGCGGGCGGGCGAGGAGCUGCAGCUGCGUCGCCUCCCGCCUGGCUUGCCUGGACCGGCCGGGAGACGGCAGGCAGAGACGAGAUACUGGACUCGAUGGACCAAACUCUUAUCUGAAAUUUGUGAUUCUUGUGUGGCGUUAAGCUCAUUUUCAUUGGACAUAUAUCAAGAAACACUAAAAACUAGAUGA